Molecule: microRNA precursor, 70 nt
Filed under: Nematostella vectensis (starlet sea anemone)
Lineage: Eukaryota; Metazoa; Cnidaria; Anthozoa; Actiniaria; Edwardsiidae
Description: microRNA nve-mir-9466 precursor
Source: miRBase by way of RNAcentral
AAGAUAUACCUCAAUCCGAGCGAUCCGGUACGGGUUAGUACCACAUCAGUCGGUUACGUGAGUAGUCUCC